UGGCGGGAUCGUCUAAGGGUAGGAUCAUGGACUCUCAAUCCGUAGAUUUCCGUUCAAAUCGGAAUCCCGCAACCA
This 75-nucleotide transfer RNA is filed under the name Erysipelotrichaceae bacterium. RNAcentral describes it as "tRNA-Glu". It matches the Rfam family "tRNA". Rfam says of the family: Transfer RNA (tRNA) molecules are approximately 80 nucleotides in length. Lineage: Bacteria; Bacillati; Bacillota; Erysipelotrichia; Erysipelotrichales; Erysipelotrichaceae. The record is from RNAcentral.